This 695-nucleotide unclassified non-coding RNA is filed under the name Hevea brasiliensis (rubber tree). The record is from RNAcentral. Lineage: Eukaryota; Viridiplantae; Streptophyta; Magnoliopsida; Malpighiales; Euphorbiaceae.
GGGAAAAUGGGCUGCUGAGAUUCGCGAUCCACAGAAGGGUGUACGCGUUUGGCUUGGUACAUUCAACACAGCAGAAGAUGCUGCUAGAGCCUAUGAUGAGGCUGCUAAGCGCAUUCGUGGUGAUAAGGCUAAACUCAACUUUCCAGCCCCAUCACCACCAGCUAAGCGACAGUGCACUAGCACUGUCGCUGCUGCUGAUACACCACCAGCACUACUCCUUGAGAGUUCUGACAACUCUCCUUUGAUGAACUUUGGAUAUGAUGUCCAGUAUCAGAGCCAAACUCCCUACUACCCCAUGGAAAUGCCCAUAGUUAGUGAAGAUUAUGAACUGAAGGAACAGAUUUCCAAUUUGGAAUCGUUCCUGGAAUUGGAGCCAUCUGAUCAAUUUUCAGGGAUCGUCGAUUCUGAUCCUCUUAAUGUUUUUCUGAUGGAGGACUUUGCUUCAACUCAUCAUCAGUUCUACUGAACAUGAUCAAAGUGUUAUUUCGGGAGUAUUUUAUGGCUGAGUAGUUUAUUAAUUAGCUUUUGGGUGUAGUAGUAGUAAUAGUAGUAAUAGAGAUUAGAGAGUACAUAUGAUGAUAAUAAUAAUAAGUUGCGUGCCUUAGCAUGCAAUUGUAAUAGUAUUAGUGUUUGUUGUCUUGUGCUGUUGUUUAUGCUUUUCUAAAUCUUGGAUUUACCUUAUAAUGUUUGGUGCA